This 2254-nucleotide long non-coding RNA is filed under the name Mytilus galloprovincialis (Mediterranean mussel). Lineage: Eukaryota; Metazoa; Mollusca; Bivalvia; Mytilida; Mytilidae. The record is from RNAcentral.
AGAUUUCCCUAUAGGCAGUAAGUUGUCUGCUUUAUGUCAAACAUCAACAUAGUUCACCUGAAUGAAAUUUUUUGAUGUUAGCAAACCACGUGAUUCUUUUUACCUGUACCGGCUUACGUGUUACAACUUACUCAUAUAUACAAAAAUCAUAUCAAUAAUUCGUAUACCUUUGGACGGAGUACCUGUAACCAUUUGACCAGACCAAAAUGCCGGUAAGUCAUCGAUUAUCAUUUGUUUUUCAUAUAUACAUAUAUGUAGACUUGUAUUUUUUUAUUCUAAUUUCGUCUACACUCAUUUUCUUAGUCAGAAGUUAACCGGCUUUACACUGUUACAUGUUAUUUGAUGAGAAACAUUAAUAACUGGGCGUUGUUCACCAUAAAAAAUGUAUGCUUGAGGUUGCUGAAUUAAGAAAUUCCUUAAUUAAAAUGAUUGUAAUUUAUCUUUUAUGAUAAUGAUAUAAUACGUGAAGAGGUUUCAUGCAAUUACACCGUAAAUAUAUGUAAAGAAGCAUCAUUACCAUGAUUACGGGAUGCUGUUCGUUUAUGCACAUAGGUAUAGAGGUAAAAAUAAUUUCCAGGGGACAAUAAGGUCGGACUUCAGUAUACUUCAACUGUCUACCAUCCUAUUUAUAACCCCGGUAAAUCCUGGCUGCCAAAAUUGUCAGCUUUAUCGAUUUUCCGUAAAACUAUACUGAAAUCAAGUUACUAUACAAAUCCUUACUGAAUUCUUCAUGUUCGUGACGGUAAUUGAACUAAAUUGAAUGUAAAUUAUUUAGGUAGUUUUUACUUCACUUGAUUGAUUAAUUUGUGCAUCUCCAAUCGAUAUAUCGAUUUUUCUAUAAAAAAAACUUGUCCUAUUACAAAACAUGGAUGAUGCAUGAAUGAUGUUGAGUAUAAAUGGGAUUGGUAUGAUGCAGCUUUCAGUUUGGGCGAUUCACAAAUAAAAACAAAGGACUUUUACAUCCGAAAUUCUACUCCUUCAUUUUGGGGGAUUAGAGCACAGUCUUUUGUUUUUAAAAACACUAUAAAGUGUUAUAUUAAGACAUACAAGUAUUUUUAAGACAAGUGCCUGUGGGGGAUAGAAAGAAUAAGACGAGACCAUUAAUUAUCUGAAAAAAAUCAAAACUGUGAUGAAUUUUACUCAAUGUAUGCAUAUUCUCACGCUCUUGUCAUCUGACAAUCUGUUCUUUUACAACAUAUAGGGGACUUGUCAUUCAUUUAACUUAAAAUAAUCACGGGAAUACUAUAUAUGAUCUGUUCAGGAAUUUUAAUCAAUAACUUAAUGGGCUUAUGAUAUUUACCUAGCGUAGGUGUUAAAUAUUUCAAUGAAGAUAAAAAGCAUGUAAGAUAACAUUUAUAUACACCUACGCUUGAUGACGAACUUGUCAUCAAAGUCCAACAUGGAUGGGCAAAAAGGUCAACGCAGAUCCGAUCCACACAUAUUUUCGACCUAAGAUUGAUGCAAUGGUCUAUAGAACCCCCUCCCCACAUAGACUUCAGUCUACUCCAGUUAAGUAACUAGAAUGUUUAAACAUUUGAGAGUUCCGUCUCAGACCUGUUUAAAGAUGACACUUUAGAUCAGAUAACUUGAUAAUGCCUAACAAUACUACUGAUUAUAAUCAAUUUGAAAGCGUUUAUUGAGUUUGAUAAAAUUUUAGCAACAUUUUCACAUGUUCCAAAAAAACUAGAACGAGGAUGUUGUCAUGUUUAAACCAACUCAAACUCUACUGUAAAAAAUGAAACCCCAGAAUUAGCGAAAGAACGCCACAUGACUUCCAAAUAGUUCUUUGGAUACACAUUAUAAAUGUUGAAAGCCUGAAAAAAAAACCUUUGAAACGGUUAGGAUAUUAACGGGUAAUAUGCUAAAAGAUAAGUAUCCAGUCAUAGGAGACAAUAUAGUUUAGCCCCCCAUGAACCCUAUACAUUUUAUUAAAAUGACAAUGAUUUUCAUUAUGAGCAGAUCCAACAUUCAUGUCACUGAGGAUCACAGAGUAACUGGCUAUAUUAUGUCACAUAUCACAUAGCAUAUCAAGUUGCAUAUAUCAUUUUAAUUUAAAUAUAUAUAUACCGAUCGCUCGAUUUUAUUGAAUGUUAUUCGUUUUAAUCUGAAAUUAUAAUGCUAUUAUCAUGUCAAAUGUUAAUGCCCGUGGGAUUCUUUUUUCUUUUUAGAAAUAUAUUUUUUAUUUUAUUUAGUCUCCCACAAUCGUACCAAACUGGAACUAUGACGAGGCUGUUGAAGCUGAAGCAGCUGACAA